CGUACGCAACCUUCCUUUAACUGGAAGAUAGCCCACCGAAAGGUGGAUUAAUACUCCAUAAUAUAUUGAAGAGGCAUCUUUUUGAUAUUAAAGCUCCGGCGGUUAAAGAUGGGCGUGCGUCUGAUUAGGUAGUUGGCGGGGUAACGGCCCACCAAGCCUUCGAUCAGUAGCUGAUGUGAGAGCAUGAUCAGCCACACGGGCACUGAGACACGGGCCCGACUCCUACGGGAGGCAGCAGUAAGGAAUAUUGGUCAAUGGACGCAAGUCUGAACCAGCCAUGCCGCGUGGAGGAUGAAGGCCCUCUGGGUUGUAAACUUCUUUUCUUUGGGACGAAACCCCUGUUUCUACGGGGACUGACGGUACCAGAGGAAUAAGCACCGGCUAACUCCGUGCCAGCAGCCGCGGUAAUACGGAGGGUGCAAGCGCUAUCCGGAUUCACUGGGUUUAAAGGGAGCGUAGGUGGGCUUUUAAGUCAGUGGUGAAAUCUUUGGGCUUAACCCGAAAACUGCCAUUGAUACUAUUAGUCUUGAAUUCUCUGGAGGUAAGCGGAAUAUGUCAUGUAGCGGUGAAAUGCUUAGAUAUGACAUAGAACACCCAUUGCGAAGGCAGCUUACUACGGAGACAUUGACACUGAGGCUCGAAAGCGUGGGGAUCAAACAGGAUUAGAUACCCUGGUAGUCCACGCCCUAAACGAUGAUUACUCGACAUUAGCGAUAUUACAGUUAGUGUCUAAGCGAAAGCAUUAAGUAAUCCACCUGGGAAGUACGACCGCAAGGUUGAAACUCAAAGGAAUUGGCGGGGGUCCGCACAAGUGGUGGAGCAUGUGGUUUAAUUCGAUACGCGAGGAACCUUACCUGGGCUAGAAUGCUGGGAGACCGCAGGUGAAAGCCUGUUUUGUAGCAAUACACUGCCAGUAAGGUGCUGCAUGGCUGUCGUCAGCUCGUGCCGUGAGGUGUUGGGUUAAGUCCCGCAACGAGCGCAACCCCUAUCUUUAGUUGCCAUCAGGUAAUGCUGGGAACUCUAAAGAAACUGCCGUCGUAAGACGUGAGGAAGGAGGGGAUGAUGUCAAGUCAUCAUGGCCUUUAUGCCCAGGGCUACACACGUGCUACAAUGGGGGGGACAAAGGGCUGCCACUUAGCGAUAAGGAGCUAAUCCCAAAAACCCUCUCUCAGUUCAGAUUGGAGUCUGCAACUCGACUCCAUGAAGCUGGAAUCACUAGUAAUCGUAUAUCAGCAAUGAUACGGUGAAUACGUUCCCGGACCUUGCACACACCGCCCGUCAAGCCAUGGAAGCUGGGUGUACCUAAAGUCGGUAACCGCAAGGAGCCGCCUAGGGUAAAACUAGUGACUGGGGCUAAGUCGAAACAAGGUA
RNAcentral lists this ribosomal RNA (1371 nucleotides) under metagenome. RNAcentral's name for it is "bacterial SSU rRNA". It matches the Rfam family "Bacterial small subunit ribosomal RNA". The record is from RNAcentral.